This 476-nucleotide ribosomal RNA is filed under the name uncultured bacterium. RNAcentral describes it as "partial 16S ribosomal RNA". It matches the Rfam family "Bacterial small subunit ribosomal RNA", at positions 28 to 523 of the family's 1533-position model. The record is from RNAcentral.
GACGAACGCUGGCGGCGUGCUUAACACAUGCAAGUCGAACGAUGAAGCCUUCGGGUGGAUUAGUGGCGAACGGGUGAGUAACACGUGGGUGAUCUGCCCUGCACUUUGGGAUAAGCCUGGGAAACUGGGUCUAAUACCGAAUAUGAUCAUGCUCUUCAUGGGGUGUGGUGGAAAGCUUUUGCGGUGUGGGAUGGGCCCGCGGCCUAUCAGCUUGUUGGUGGGGUAAUGGCCUACCAAGGCGACGACGGGUAGCCGGCCUGAGAGGGUGACCGGCCACACUGGGAAUGAGACACGGCCCAGACUCCUACGGGAGGCAGCAGUGGGGAAUAUUGUACAAUGGGCGCAAGCCUGAUGCAGCGACGCCGCGUGAGGGAUGACGGCCUUCGGGUUGUAAACCUCUUUCAGCAGGGACGAAGCGAAAGUGACGGUACCUGCAGAAGAAGGACCGGCCAACUACGUGCCAGCCGCCGCCGUAA